CGCUCCGUCAUUGGGGAGUAGCCGUCCCCCUUCGCACCAGUUGCGAUUGAGGGGAGACCGCAUCAACAGACUUGGAGCCGUCGCUGGUUCCAUGGUGCGGGAAGCCAGUUUCCGGUUUGGCGAGACCUUUGGCAUCGACGGCCGUCAUUCGGGUCAGACGGCGGGCUGUCGAUGUCACAGGUAUGUCCGCCGUCCG
RNAcentral lists this small RNA (196 nucleotides) under Oceanibaculum indicum. RNAcentral describes it as "Manganese sequence". It matches the Rfam family "Manganese Mn2+ riboswitch aptamer (yybP-ykoY)". Rfam says of the family: This RNA was originally discovered in E. coli during a large scale screen and was named SraF. The family was later found to exist upstream of related families of protein genes in many bacteria, including the the yybP and ykoK genes in B. subtilis. The specific functions of these proteins are unknown, but this structured RNA element may be involved in their genetic regulation as a riboswitch. Lineage: Bacteria; Pseudomonadati; Pseudomonadota; Alphaproteobacteria; Rhodospirillales; Oceanibaculaceae. The record is from RNAcentral.